UACGAAGGGGGCUAGCGUUGUUCGGAAUUACUGGGCGUAAAGCGCACGUAGGCGGAUAUUUAAGUCAGGGGUGAAAUCCCAGAGCUCAACUCUGGAACUGCCUUUGAUACUGGGUAUCUUGAGUAUGGAAGAGGUAAGUGGAAUUGCGAGUGUAGAGGUGAAAUUCGUAGAUAUUCGCAGGAACACCAGUGGCGAAGGCGGCUUACUGGUCCUAACUGACGCUGAGG
This 227-nucleotide ribosomal RNA is filed under the name uncultured bacterium. RNAcentral describes it as "partial 16S ribosomal RNA". It matches the Rfam family "Bacterial small subunit ribosomal RNA", at positions 524 to 751 of the family's 1533-position model. The record is from RNAcentral.